UACGGAGGGUGCGAGCGUUAAUCGGAAUAACUGGGCGUAAAGGGCACGCAGGCGGGCUUUUAAGUGAGAUGUGAAAUACCCGGGCUUAACCUGGGAAUAGCAUUUCAGACUGGGAGUCUAGAGUGCUUUAGGGAGGGGUAGAAUUCCACGUGUAGCGGUGAAAUGCGUAGAGAUGUGGAGGAAUACCGAAGGCGAAGGCAACCCCGUGGGAAUGUACUGACGCUCAUGUGCGAAAGCGUGGGGAACAAACAGG
Molecule: ribosomal RNA, 253 nt
Filed under: uncultured bacterium
Lineage: Bacteria
Description: partial 16S ribosomal RNA
Rfam family: Bacterial small subunit ribosomal RNA
Source: RNAcentral